This 651-nucleotide ribosomal RNA is filed under the name uncultured organism. RNAcentral describes it as "bacterial SSU rRNA". It matches the Rfam family "Bacterial small subunit ribosomal RNA", at positions 76 to 706 of the family's 1533-position model. The record is from RNAcentral.
UUCUUCGGAAGAGAAGUUUGUGAGGUAAGCGGCGAACGGGAGACUAAUGUAGGGGUAAUUUGCCUUGAAGCUCGGGAUAACCAUCCAAAAAGGUGGAUAAUACCAAAUGUGUUCGGCUACCGCCUGGUACCUUGUGUAAAGGUGGGGAUCUUCGGAUCUGCCACUUCCAGAUACGCCCAUAUCCUAUCAGCUUGUUGGUAAGGUAAUGGCUCACCCAGGCUUACGGAUAGCCAAACUGAGAGGGUGACCGGCCACCCUGUGACUGAGACACUGCCCGGACUCCUACCGGAGGCUGCGUCGAGAAUCAUUGUCCAUGCGCCAUAGUGUAAACGUGCGACGCCGUGUGGACAACGACGCCUUCGGGUUGUGACUCCAGUCCUGAGGGAGUAAGUGCAGAUUGGUUAAUACCCCGUCCGUUUGAUAGUACCUCAGAUGAAAGUCUCGGCUAACUCUGUGCUAGCAUCCGUGGUAAUACAGAGGUGGCGAGUGUUGUUCGAUUUUACUGGCCGUAAAGGUCCGCUGGCGGUCCUGCCUGGCAGAUGUGAAAGCUCACAGAUCAACUGUGGAAUUUCUCCUAAACUACAGACUAGAGUACACGACGGGAUAAAGGAGUUCCUGGAUGCGGGUGCAAUGCGUAGAUAUGAUGAAGAA